CCGCGUGAGUGAAGAAAGGUUUUCGGGAUCGUAAAGCUCUGUUGUUGGUGAAGAAGGAUAGAGGUAGUAACUGGCCUUUAUUUGACGGUAAUCAACCAGAAAGUCACGGCUAACUACGUGCCAGCCGCCGCGGUAAU
Molecule: ribosomal RNA, 137 nt
Filed under: uncultured bacterium
Lineage: Bacteria
Description: partial 16S ribosomal RNA
Rfam family: Bacterial small subunit ribosomal RNA
Source: RNAcentral